CGGCAAUGGGCGCAAGCCUGACCGAGCGACGCCGCGUGGAGGACGAAGGCCUUCGGGUUGUAAACUCCUGUCGAGGGGGAACAAGGUGCCGUGAAGAGCGGUGCUUGAGUGAUCCCUGGAGGAAGCACGGGCUAAGUUCGUGCCAGCAGCCGCGGUAAGACGAACCGUGCGAACGUUAUUCGGAAUCACUGGGCUUAAAGCGCGUGUAGGCGGCCCGGCACGUCCGUCGCUGAAAUCCCCCGGCUCAACCGGGGAAGUGGCGUGGAUACGACCGGGCUGGAGGGGGGUAGGGGGAGCCGGAACUUCCGGUGGAGCGGUGAAAUGCGUUGAGAUCGGAAGGACGCCCGUGGCGAAAGCGGGCUCCUGGACCCCACCUGACGCUGAGACGCGAAAGCCAGGGGAGCGAACGGGAUUAGAUACCCGUGUAGU
RNAcentral lists this ribosomal RNA (429 nucleotides) under uncultured organism. RNAcentral's name for it is "bacterial SSU rRNA". It matches the Rfam family "Bacterial small subunit ribosomal RNA", at positions 366 to 794 of the family's 1533-position model. The record is from RNAcentral.